GGGGUUGUGGCUCAGUGGUAGAGCACUUUCCUAGCAUGUGUGAGGUCCUGGGUUCAAUCCUCAGCACCA
This 69-nucleotide transfer RNA is filed under the name Ictidomys tridecemlineatus (thirteen-lined ground squirrel). RNAcentral describes it as "Spermophilus tridecemlineatus (thirteen-lined ground squirrel) tRNA". It matches the Rfam family "tRNA". Rfam says of the family: Transfer RNA (tRNA) molecules are approximately 80 nucleotides in length. Their secondary structure includes four short double-helical elements and three loops (D, anti-codon, and T loops). Further hydrogen bonds mediate the characteristic L-shaped molecular structure. tRNAs have two regions of fundamental functional importance: the anti-codon, which is responsible for specific mRNA codon recognition, and the 3' end, to which the tRNAs corresponding amino acid is attached (by aminoacyl-tRNA synthetases). tRNAs cope with the degeneracy of the genetic code in two manners: having more than one tRNA (with a specific anti-codon) for a particular amino acid; and 'wobble' base-pairing, i.e. permitting non-standard base-pairing at the 3rd anti-codon position. Lineage: Eukaryota; Metazoa; Chordata; Mammalia; Rodentia; Sciuridae. The record is from Rfam by way of RNAcentral.